UACGGGGGGAGCAAGCGUUGUUCGGAUUUACUGGGCGUAAAGGGCGCGUAGGCGGUCGUGACAAGUCACUUGUGAAAUCUCCGGGCUUAACUCGGAACGGUCAAGUGAUACUGUCGGACUAGAGUACAGAAGGGGCAACUGGAAUUCUCGGUGUAGCGGUGAAAUGCGUAGAUAUCGAGAGGAACACCUGCGGCGAAGGCGGUGAGCUGGGCAGUUGCUGACACUGAGGCGCGACAGCGUGGGGAGCAAACAGGG
RNAcentral lists this ribosomal RNA (255 nucleotides) under uncultured bacterium. RNAcentral's name for it is "partial 16S ribosomal RNA". It matches the Rfam family "Bacterial small subunit ribosomal RNA", at positions 524 to 777 of the family's 1533-position model. The record is from RNAcentral.